RNAcentral lists this ribosomal RNA (492 nucleotides) under uncultured bacterium. RNAcentral describes it as "partial 16S ribosomal RNA". It matches the Rfam family "Bacterial small subunit ribosomal RNA", at positions 355 to 833 of the family's 1533-position model. The record is from RNAcentral.
UGGGGAAUUUUGGACAAUGGGCGAAAGCCUGAUCCAGCCAUGCCGCGUGCAGGAUGAAGGCCUUCGGGUUGUAAACUGCUUUUGUACGGAACGAAAAGACUCUGGUUAAUACCUGGGGUCCAUGACGGUACCGUAAGAAUAAGCACCGGCUAACUACGUGCCAGCAGCCGCGGUAAUACGUAGGGUGCAAGCGUUAAUCGUAAUUACUGGGCGUAAAGCGUGCGCAGGCGGUUAUAUAAGACAGNUGUGAAAUCCCCCGGGCUCAACCUGGGGAAACUGCAUUUGUGACUGUAUAGCUAGAGUACGGCAGAGGGGGAUGGAAUUCCGCGUGUAGCAGUGAAAUGCGUAGGAUAUGCGGAGGAACACCGAUGGCGAAGGCAAUCCCCUGGGCCUGUACUGACGCUCAUGACACAAAGGCGUGGGGAGNAAACAGGAUUAGAUACCCUGGUAGUCCACGCCCUAAAACGAUGUCAACUGGUUGUUGGGUCUUCA